GUGGGGAAUAUUGGACAAUGGGCGAAAGCCUGAUCCAGCCAUGCCGCGUGUGUGAAGAAGGUCUUCGGAUUGUAAAGCACUUUAAGUUGGGAGGAAGAGUAGUAACCUAAUACGUUGCUACUUUGACGUUACCGACAGAAUAAGCACCGGCUAACUUCGUGCCAGCAGCCGCGGUAAUACGAAGGGGGCUAGCGUUGCUCGGAAUUACUGGGCGUAAAGCGCGCGUAGGUGGUUCAGUAAGUUGGAAGUGAAAUCCCCGGGCUCAACCUGGGAACUGCUUUCAAAACUGCUGAGCUAGAGUACGGUAGAGGGUGGUGGAAUUUCCUGUGUAGCGGUGAAAUGCGUAGAUAUAGGAAGGAACACCAGUGGCGAAGGCGACCACCUGGACUGAUACUGACACUGAGGUGCGAAAGCGUGGGGAGCAAACAGGAUUAGAUACCCUUGUAGUCC
RNAcentral lists this ribosomal RNA (450 nucleotides) under uncultured bacterium. Its description in RNAcentral is "partial 16S ribosomal RNA". It matches the Rfam family "Bacterial small subunit ribosomal RNA", at positions 354 to 796 of the family's 1533-position model. The record is from RNAcentral.